AAUUAUUAAGCUAACAAGCAAGUAUUUUGAAAAUACUAGAUAAAAGAUAACAUCUUUUAAUAAUUU
This 66-nucleotide transfer RNA is filed under the name Abacion magnum. Its description in RNAcentral is "tRNA-Ser". The record is from RNAcentral. Lineage: Eukaryota; Metazoa; Arthropoda; Diplopoda; Callipodida; Callipodidae.